This 434-nucleotide long non-coding RNA is filed under the name Gossypium barbadense (sea-island cotton). Its description in RNAcentral is "long non-coding RNA (GBAR_LNC017811)". The record is from RNAcentral. Lineage: Eukaryota; Viridiplantae; Streptophyta; Magnoliopsida; Malvales; Malvaceae.
CCGCAUUCUCGUCAUCACCACCCCUGUGUUUUCCAUUCUCAUCGUUUCCACCACCGCCACCCGAGUUGUUGUUGUUGCUGUUAAUAUCACCACCAUCGCCGCCGGCGCAGAAGGUUAAGAACGGGGAAGAUCGGCUGUGACGGAGACAGGUGGCGGAGGAGGAAAGGCGGAGGUGGAGGUGGAGAGGGAAAGUGGUGGGGAAUUUAGGGGUGAUGGUAAGGGAACUAGGAGAGGAAAGUGGGGAAGGGGUGAGAAGGCAGGCGGCGAUGGACAUUGGUGGCGGCAGGUGGUGUCAGAGGCGGAGUUUUGGUCAGAGAAGUAAUGGAAAGAGGUGUGUAAUAAUGAAAGGUUUGUCGUUGGCUAGUUGAUCAAAGUUGAAGGAUCUGAAUCUAAGCAAACGCCAGACCACUUUCUAAGACAGUUUUUGUCUGAAA